This 63-nucleotide transfer RNA is filed under the name Gari togata. RNAcentral's name for it is "tRNA-Ser". Lineage: Eukaryota; Metazoa; Mollusca; Bivalvia; Cardiida; Psammobiidae. The record is from RNAcentral.
GGCUUUAGUGGUAUGUGCUGGUUUUGAAAACCGGUUAAGGAUGUUCGACUCGUCUGAAAGCUU